Molecule: long non-coding RNA, 281 nt
Filed under: Lathyrus oleraceus (garden pea)
Lineage: Eukaryota; Viridiplantae; Streptophyta; Magnoliopsida; Fabales; Fabaceae
Description: Pisum sativum (pea) long non-coding RNA (PSAT_LNC007913)
Source: RNAcentral
UGGGAUAUGUGAACCUUUACGAAACUCAAAAAAAAGAAACAUGUCAGAACACCAAAUCAGGGUGCAAUCGAAGAUUACACCGGAGAAAUAUCACAACAAUAAAUAGGAUAGGAUGAAUAAUGCAUGGCUAUGAUAACAUAAAAAAAAACAGAAUAGAAAAAGUCAGCUACUGUCUCGUUCGCCUCUGCCUCGCCUAGCGAAGGCCAGGCGAAUACUCGCCCCAGGCUCGCCUAGCGAGGUGCUAGCGAGCGGCCACGGAUUUUGAAUUUGAAAACAGCCCC